AGCAGCAGAUCCCCACCCGCCGCUGCCGUCGAAAUUCUUGGCGCAGAAAUAGGUGGCGGAAUCCUCGUCCCUGAGGCUGUUCAUGGUCAGCGUCACCGAGCUCUGCCCGUUGUCCCUGGAGAUCGUGAACCGGCCCUUGACCGACGAAGCGUAUCUG
Molecule: long non-coding RNA, 157 nt
Organism: Corvus hawaiiensis (hawaiian crow)
Lineage: Eukaryota; Metazoa; Chordata; Aves; Passeriformes; Corvidae
Exons: 2
Source: RefSeq, a predicted model, not a curated record